UACGUAGGGUGCAAGCGUUGUCCGGAAUUAUUGGGCGUAAAGAGCUCGUAGGCGGUCUGUCGCGUCGGCUGUGAAAACUCGGGGCUCAACUCCGAGCUUGCAGUCGGAUACGGGCAGGCUAGAGUUCGGCAGGGGAGACUGGAAAUUCCUGGUGUAGCGGUGAAAUGCGCAGAUAUCAGGAGGAACACCGGUGGCGAAGGCGGGUCUCUGGGCCGAUACUGACGCUGAGGAGCGAAAGCGUGGGGAGCGAACAGG
RNAcentral lists this ribosomal RNA (255 nucleotides) under uncultured bacterium. Its description in RNAcentral is "partial 16S ribosomal RNA". It matches the Rfam family "Bacterial small subunit ribosomal RNA", at positions 524 to 776 of the family's 1533-position model. The record is from RNAcentral.